Long non-coding RNA from Uranotaenia lowii, 719 nucleotides. RefSeq lists it as uncharacterized. The transcript has 4 exons. The record is from RefSeq and is a predicted model, not a curated record. NCBI's taxonomy places the organism in Eukaryota, Metazoa, Arthropoda, Insecta, Diptera, Culicidae.
CAGAGAUGACUCGAAUGUUUUUUGUGUUCACUGUUCCGCCAUUGUUUUAUUUUCGAUUCGAUAGUUCGAUAAUUUUUUGGUGCAAAUUAAACUUUAAAUACAAUCGCCACGAUAUCAAUGAUGGUAAUCCCAUGGACAAUUCCGGCGAAUGGGGGAAGACUAUCUGGUGGAAGCUGCCUCCUGAGAACCUAUAUGACCGCAUCAAAAAAAUACAGCUGGGUGGGCCGAUAAUGAUCUUUCUGAAGCAAAAUCCGCAAUGAGCGAUGUGCAAGUUGAUUUCAUCUUUCUUCCGGACGGCGGAAUAGAAAAAAUAUUCGAAACUUUCAGAAGAAGUUUACGCACAUAUCGUGGCUACAAAAUGUUAUUUAAUUUAUCCGGAAGAUUGUUCAUCAGACCAAAAUUUAUCAGCACACACAGAUUCGAACAUGCAUGUCAUUAUCGAAAGCGUAGAGGAAAUAGUUCUGGUGGUGCUCCAACAUAAUGUCUCGGGCUCCAAGGAACCGUCUCUGAUCCAAAAUGUUCAGACUGGACAUUGUGGACAAUUUUUAUUUCAUCCCAUCGAAUUCAACCAAAUGGCUAUGAUGCUUAUGCGAUGGCGGUUCCGAAUCUUGUCACUUAUUUGAUUUUCAAUGCUCCGUCAACCACUGCAUGUCAUCAUCCAGCCUUCCUGACUCUGGAACGAUAGAAUAGUUCUAAUAAUUUCAUUCAAACACGCAACU